UACGUAGGGCGCAAGCGUUGUCCGGAAUUAUUGGGCGUAAAGAGCUCGUAGGCGGUUUGUCGCGUCUGCUGUGAAAACCUAAGGCUCAACCUUGGGCUUGCAGUGGGUACGGGCAGACUAGAGUGCGGUAGGGGUGACUGGAAUUCCUGGUGUAGCGGUGGAAUGCGUAGAUAUCGAGAGGAACACCUGCGGCGAAGGCGGGUUGCUGGGCUGACACUGACGCUGAGGCGCGAAAGCUAGGGGAGCGAACGGG
This 253-nucleotide ribosomal RNA is filed under the name uncultured bacterium. RNAcentral's name for it is "partial 16S ribosomal RNA". It matches the Rfam family "Bacterial small subunit ribosomal RNA", at positions 524 to 776 of the family's 1533-position model. The record is from RNAcentral.